AUGUUCGAGUAUCUAAAUGUUGUCAGCAAGAUGUUUGAUAGUGAGGCUGAAGGCUAUGAAUUCUACAACAAAUAUGCUCUUGAAAAAGGUUUUAGUGUGAGGAAAAGCUACGUUGAGUGGGAUGGAUCCAACAAAUACAUAAUUUUAAGGAAAAUUGUGUAUAGUCGUGAAGGGUUUCGCGAAGAGAAGCACAUGAAAAGAAAGAUGGAAGAUAGAAAGAGGAGGCCACGAAGUUUAACUCGUGUUGGGUGUAAUGCUAAAUUGGUCAUUACGAGACACGAGGAAACCGGUCGGUGGUUUGUCAAGGAUUUCAUCGAUGAGCACAGCCAUCCUCUAGCCCCACGGGAUCUUUCUUGUCUACUGCGUUCGCACAGACGAAUUAGCGAUGAGCAGAAAGCGGACAUUGCGGACAUGGAAAAAUGUGGGAUCCGCAAAUACCGUAUUAUGGAUAUUUUGUGCUUUCAAUACGGUGGAUUUGAUAAGGUUGGAUGCAUAAAGAGGGACAUUUAUAAUUUCUGCCAUGCUAAUAAGCAGGAGACAAUCAGUGCCGGUGAUGCUAAUACGGUGAUCAUGCACAUGAUGGCGAGGCGAGAGCGAGAUGUGGAUUUUUUCUUCAAGUACUUGGUAGACGAGCAUGGCCAUCUGAAGGGACUGUUCUGGGCUGAUAGUCAAUCGCGACUUGACUACGAGGCUUUCGGAGACGUCAUUGUUUUCGAUAGCACAUAUAGAACCAACAAAUACAAUCUGCCAUUCGUGCCGUUUGUGGGGUUGAAUCACCACCGCAGCACUGUUAUUUUUGGUUGUGGUAUAAUUUCUCAUGAAACAAGCCAGGCAUACGAGUGGAUGUUGCGGACCUUUUCUGAUUGCAUGGCACAGAAGCAUCCGAUAUCUGUGAUCACAGAUGGGGACCUUGCAAUGCAGAGAGCAAUCAGGGUGGUCUGGCCAGACUCAAACCAUAGACUAUGUAUAUGGCACAUUCAGCAGAACAUUGUACGCCAUCUGCAUGAUGACGACGUAAAGGAGGAAUUCAGAUCUUUCAUUUAUGAUACUUCUUUCAUUGAAGAGCAUGAGAUAAAAUGGAUACAAUUCUUACAAUGGAAUAAAGUAACCAGUGAGGAGUCUUGGCUGCAUCAGAUGUAUCAGAUGAGAAAGUUGUGGUGUGCUCCAUAUCUUGAGGGGCGUUGUUUCCUAGGAUUGAGCAGCAAUCAGAGGAGUGAGAGCUUGAACUCUGUGCUACAUACGCAUCUUGAGGGUAAGAUGUCGUUGUUUGAAAUGCUAGAGCACUAUGAGCGUUGCCUUGCGUCGCGACGGAUUAACGAAGCUCUCCAAGACGUCGAAGCCUUGCAGUCCGUUCCAUUUACAGAGGAAAAUGCUUCGCCGCUUGAGAAACACGCCGCAACAGUUUUCACACCUAGUGUCUUUAAGAUGGUCUUAUGGAGCAUAGAUGCUGUCAGCAAAUGUCAGAUGAGAGAGAUACUAGAUGGAUGA
This 1488-nucleotide ribosomal RNA is filed under the name Triticum aestivum (bread wheat). RNAcentral's name for it is "partial small subunit ribosomal RNA". Lineage: Eukaryota; Viridiplantae; Streptophyta; Magnoliopsida; Poales; Poaceae. The record is from RNAcentral.